UGCACAUGUGUUUGUACAUGUAUUCAUACUGUGAAGAUGCCGUUUGCCUUUUCUCUUCCUUUCCAAUUUCAAAGAUGAUCAUAUUACAUCUUCAGAAGUUCAUCUCAUUUUGGCACUAAGGAUUUAUUCAUUUUCAUGUCAUGUAUUUCUACCCUCUUAUUUGCCUUUCCAUCAACUAUAGCAUCAUGUAAUUUUUAAUUUCUUAGCAUUUAAAUGCAUAAAAGUUAUCUGUGCCUCUAUGAUAUAACCUUUUUUAUUUUCAACCAUCAUGCAGAUUUUCUGCACCCAUUUAAUAUCUGUCCCAACUCCCAUUAGGAGUAGAUUGAAUUUCAUUUCAUAAUUUUCUAAGUUUUUUGGCAUUUUUCAUCCACUCAAAUACUCAAUUUCAUCAGAGUAAAGUUGAGUGGUGAAAUUAAACCAAACCACUUAUUGCCAGUUUGGCCAAGUUGAUUAGAAGCAAAAUGGUUUAUUUUUGAAAUAAUUUAUAAAAAGAUCUUUUCAGAAUAUAUUCUAUUGUGAUUAUUUAGAAUAAAAACAGAGCUUUUAGAAAAAGCCUUAAAUUAGUGCUUGUUAAGAAAAGGCAAAUUGUUCUCUUAUUUACUCCAAAAGCCACUUUGUAAAAAACAUUAUUGACGUGACAUAUGGCUUCUUCUUGGAGUAGAUAAGAUUCACUAAAUUGCAGGCAAACAAGCACUUACAAUGAUCAUGAGAAGCUUGUUCUAAUUUAGUCGUUUACCCUUUUUUCCAUGAAUUGGAUCCUCGGGGAAUAAUUUGAAUAUGGUGGCUGUAAAUGCUUCAUGAAUAAUCACCCUUUGCUGUCAGCCUGUCAUUUAAGGAAAAUCAUGAUGCUCGUGUCCAAUCUGGAUGUACUUAUGUUCUUGAAUUCUUAUCUAAGCCAAGUGAAAUACCCUACUUACUGUGAUACCCUACUUUUUAUGCAUCGUAGUUCUAAACUGAAAUACCCUACUUACUGUUUAGUUUCUAUUUUGGAUGAAAUUCUGUCUCUAUUUCAUUUAAAGAGUCAUGAUAGAGGCCAAGAAAGAUAUGGUUGACUUAUGAACAGAGCAAAGCUUGGCUAAUAUUCCAUUAAUGUCUGAAUGGAGAAAAUGGUUUCCACUUGCCACAUCCAUCAUGGCUGCUCUGCCCUACAAAUCAAUCAGGGUUGCAUGCAGGCCAUGGAAAAGGAAACCAUGAUAUCUGCAGGAUUGCACCGCAACCCCACUCA
This is a long non-coding RNA of Ipomoea nil (Japanese morning glory), 1225 nucleotides long. RefSeq lists it as uncharacterized. NCBI's taxonomy places the organism in Eukaryota, Viridiplantae, Streptophyta, Magnoliopsida, Solanales, Convolvulaceae. The record is from RefSeq and is a predicted model, not a curated record. The transcript has 2 exons.